CUGUCAUAUACUUGUAGGUGCGAGAGUCUUCCUCUUCACCUUUUAUCCCAAAUUCCCAAUCUCUCACGCCCUUUCUGUCACUUACAGCUUACUAAACCCCAUAAACCCUUAUCUGAAACCAUAUACCCAAUAACCCAAACACCACUUUGUCAUCUUACUCUUGCUGCUCUGAUAAAGCUGAAGAAAGUCCUCCGGGAAGAAAGACUCAAAAGAGAGAUGCUAAGCUCAAGGGGAAGAUUAGCAAAAAACAAGAUCGAUAUAUUCAAGCAAUGGAAAAUAUUGCAUUCAAUAGUGAAGCUAGUAGAGAGGCCACAAGUAUCAGAGAUAAAGAAAAUAGAAAGCACAUCAAGUGGCAGUAACAAAUGGAAAUGGAAAAGCAACAACGUACUAGAACUACAAAAAGUAUAACCAGAAAUCCAAAAGGAGGAAAAUUGGGUUAUGGCUAAAGACAUUAGCACAAUGACUCCAGAAUCAAAAGCAUGGUGGAAGAAAAGAAAGAAAGCUAUCCGUGACAAAACCUCAGAUGAUUGGGAGGGUUUGUAAUAUCUCAAGACUAUCUUGAUUACGUUAUUAGGUUGUUAUUUAGAAUGUUGUUGUUUUCGCUAGGCUAGGCUAGUUUUUCAUGUAGUCUUUAUCUAGUGUCAUAGUCUUUAUCUAGUAUCCAACUUUAUCUUCUAAGCUCAUCUUCUGGUACAUCUUUCGAAAAAUUUCAUCUUCAA
Long non-coding RNA from Rosa chinensis, 719 nucleotides. RefSeq lists it as uncharacterized. The transcript has 2 exons. Lineage: Eukaryota; Viridiplantae; Streptophyta; Magnoliopsida; Rosales; Rosaceae. The record is from RefSeq and is a predicted model, not a curated record.